This 588-nucleotide ribosomal RNA is filed under the name uncultured bacterium. Its description in RNAcentral is "bacterial SSU rRNA". It matches the Rfam family "Bacterial small subunit ribosomal RNA", at positions 338 to 916 of the family's 1533-position model. The record is from RNAcentral.
CCUACGGGAGGCAGCAGUGGGGAAUUUUGGACAAUGGGCGAAAGCCUGAUCCAGCAAUGCCGCGUGAGUGAAGAAGGCCUUCGGGUUGUAAAGCUCUUUUGUCAGGGAAGAAACGGUGAGAGCUAAUAUCUCUUGCUAAUGACGGUACCUGAAGAAUAAGCACCGGCUAACUACGUGCCAGCAGCCGCGGUAAUACGUAGGGUGCAAGCGUUAAUCGGAAUUACUGGGCGUAAAGCGUGCGCAGGCGGUUUUGUAAGUCUGAUGUGAAAUCCCCGGGCUCAACCUGGGAAUUGCAUUGGAGACUGCAAGGCUAGAAUCUGGCAGAGGGGGGUAGAAUUCCACGUGUAGCAGUGAAAUGCGUAGAUAUGUGGAGGAACACCGAUGGCGAAGGCAGCCCCCUGGGUCAAGAUUGACGCUCAUGCACGAAAGCGUGGGGAGCAAACAGGAUUAGAUACCCUGGUAGUCCACGCCCUAAACGAUGUCUACUAGUUGUCGGGUCUUAAUUGACUUGGUAACGCAGCUAACGCGUGAAGUAGACCGCCUGGGGAGUACGGUCGCAAAGAUUAAAAACUCAAAAGGAAUUGACGG